GCGACGGGUGAGUACACGUGGGCAAUCUGCCCUUCACUCUGGGACAAGCCCUGGAAACGGGGUCUAAUACCGGAUAAUACUCUGUCCCGCAUGGGACGGGGUUGAAAGCUCCGGCGGUGAAGGAUGAGCCCGCGGCCUAUCAGCUUGUUGGUGGGGUAAUGGCCUACCAAGGCGACGACGGGUAGCCGGCCUGAGAGGGCGACCGGCCACACUGGGACUGAGACACGGCCCAGACUCCUACGGGAGGCAGCAGUGGGGAAUAUUGCACAAUGGGCGAAAGCCUGAUGCAGCGACGCCGCGUGAGGGAUGACGGCCUUCGGGUUGUAAACCUCUUUCAGCAGGGAAGAAGCGAAAGUGACGGUACCUGCAGAAGAAGCGCCGGCUAACUACGUGCCAGCAGCCGGGGGUAAUACG
Molecule: ribosomal RNA, 414 nt
Filed under: Streptomyces sp. MBT56
Lineage: Bacteria; Bacillati; Actinomycetota; Actinomycetes; Kitasatosporales; Streptomycetaceae
Description: bacterial SSU rRNA
Rfam family: Bacterial small subunit ribosomal RNA
Source: RNAcentral